UUCCUUGUAGUGUAUACUAACACCUUACAAUUUCACUGUAAAAAAAAGAUUAACUUCUAGGAUU
This 64-nucleotide transfer RNA is filed under the name Fabaeformiscandona kushiroensis. RNAcentral describes it as "tRNA-Glu". The record is from RNAcentral. Lineage: Eukaryota; Metazoa; Arthropoda; Ostracoda; Podocopida; Candonidae.